CCUACGGGGGGCAGCAGUGGGGAAUAUUGGGCAAUGGGCGCAAGCCUGACCCAGCAACGCCGCGUGAAGGAAGAAGGCUUUCGGGUUGUAAACUUCUUUUAAGAGGGAAGAGCAGAAGACGGUACCUCUUGAAUAAGCCACGGCUAACUACGUGCCAGCAGCCGCGGUAAUACGUAGGUGGCAAGCGUUGUCCGGAUUUACUGGGUGUAAAGGGCGUGCAGCCGGGAAGACAAGUCAGAUGUGAAAGCCCGCGGCUCAACCGCGGAACUGCAUUUGAAACUGUUUUUCUUGAGUACCGGAGAGGUCAUCGGAAUUCCUUGUGUAGCGGUGAAAUGCGUAGCUAUACGGAAGAACACCAGUGGCGAAGGCGGAUGACUGGACGGCAACUGACGGUGAGGCGCGAAAGCGUGGGGAGCAAACAGGAUUAGAUACCCCAGUAGUC
This 442-nucleotide ribosomal RNA is filed under the name uncultured bacterium. RNAcentral's name for it is "partial 16S ribosomal RNA". It matches the Rfam family "Bacterial small subunit ribosomal RNA", at positions 338 to 795 of the family's 1533-position model. The record is from RNAcentral.